This 450-nucleotide ribosomal RNA is filed under the name uncultured bacterium. RNAcentral's name for it is "bacterial SSU rRNA". It matches the Rfam family "Bacterial small subunit ribosomal RNA", at positions 37 to 507 of the family's 1533-position model. The record is from RNAcentral.
UGGCGGCGUGCUUAACACAUGCAAGUCGAACGUAAGGCCUUCGGGUACACGAGUGGCGAACGGGUGAGUAACACGUGGGUGAUCUGCCCUGCACUUUGGGAUAAGCCUGGGAAACUGGGUCUAAUACCGAAUAGGACUCCGGACUGCAUGGUCUGGGGUGGAAAGCUUUUGCGGUGUGGGAUGGGCCCGCGGCCUAUCAGCUUGUUGGUGGGGUGAUGGCCUACCAAGGCGACGACGGGUAGCCGGCCUGAGAGGGUGACCGGCCACACUGGGACUGAGAUACGGCCCAGACUCCUACGGGAGGCAGCAGUGGGGAAUAUUGCACAAUGGGCGCAAGCCUGAUGCAGCGACGCCGCGUGAGGGAUGACGGCCUUCGGGUUGUAAACCUCUUUCAGCACAGACGAAGCGCAAGUGACGGUAUGUGCAGAAGAAGGACCGGCCAACUACGUG